This is a long non-coding RNA of Camarhynchus parvulus, 427 nucleotides long. RefSeq lists it as uncharacterized. The record is from RefSeq and is a predicted model, not a curated record. The transcript is spliced from 3 exons. NCBI's taxonomy places the organism in Eukaryota, Metazoa, Chordata, Aves, Passeriformes, Thraupidae.
CGGGGCAGCGCCGCCACGCUCCCUCGGCUGCCGGGGCUAUCUGGGAGGCGGCAGCGGGGCCGCCCCGCUCCCGCGGAGCAGCUGCCCCUCGGCCCGGGCCGGCCUCCCUGCACCGCCCAGCGGCCACAGCCCCUUCCAAGGGAAUGCUUCCAGAAACACGUCGCAAUUUAAAUGAAGAGUAUUGGAAAAUGAUUUCCUGCCGUACCCGCUGAGGGAUGCCAGCGUUUCCCAGAAACACGGCUAUCGCCGUAGUCGCGGCGAUACAUCCUGACGGGGCUAACACAACUCUUCCACACUGACUGGAGUGAAACUUUAUGGAGCUGGCUUUGCAUACCUGAAAUUUUUUCCCCUUUGGGAAAUCUGGAAAAAGAUAACCAGAGCUGAAGUCUGUUGUGAAUGAAAAGCUCCACAGGUCGAUUGAGUGCUC